CUACGGGACGCACCAGUGAGGAAUAUUGCACAAUGGGGGGAACCCUGAUGCAGCAACGCCGCGUGGAGGAUGACGCAUUUCGGUGUGUAAACUCCUUUUAUAUGUCAAGAAAAUGACGGUAGCAUAUGAAUAAGCACCGGCUAACUCCGUGCCAGCAGCCGCGGUAAUACGGAGGGUGCAAGCGUUACUCGGAAUCACUGGGCGUAAAGGACGCGUAGGCGGGUUGGAAAGUCAGGUGUGAAAUCCUACAGCUUAACUGUAGAACUGCACUUGAAACUUCUAAUCUAGAGUAUGGGAGGGGGAGAUGGAAUUAGUGGUGUAGGGAUAAAAUCCGUAGAUAUCACUAGGAAUACCUAAAGCGAAGGCGAUCUCCUGGAACAUUACUGACGCUAAGGCGUGAAAGCGUGGGGAGCAAACAGGAUUAGAUACCCGUGUAGUC
Molecule: ribosomal RNA, 439 nt
Filed under: uncultured bacterium
Lineage: Bacteria
Description: partial 16S ribosomal RNA
Rfam family: Bacterial small subunit ribosomal RNA
Source: RNAcentral